RNAcentral lists this ribosomal RNA (422 nucleotides) under uncultured bacterium. Its description in RNAcentral is "partial 16S ribosomal RNA". It matches the Rfam family "Bacterial small subunit ribosomal RNA", at positions 360 to 774 of the family's 1533-position model. The record is from RNAcentral.
AAUAUUGGACAAUGUGGGCAACCCUGUUCAAGCCAUGCCGCGUGUGUGAAGAAGGACUUCGGAUUUUAAAGCACUCUAAGUUGGGAGGACGGGCUUAAGGUUAUUACCAUGAGGUUUUGAAUUUACCAACAGAAUAAGCACCGGCAACUUCUGUGCCAGCAGCCGCGGUAAUACAGAUGGUGCAAGCGUUAAUCGGAAUUACUGGGCGUAAAGCGCGCGUAGGUGGUUCAGUAAGAUGGGUGUGAAAUCCCCGGGCUUAACCUGGGAACUGCUUUCAUAACUGCUGAGCUAGAGUACGGUAGAGGGUAGUGGAAUUUCCUGUGUAGCGGUGAAAUGCGUAGAUAUAGGAAGGAACACCAGUGGCGAAGGCGACUACCUGGACUGAUACUGACACUGAGGUGCGAAAGCGUGGGGAGCAAACA